UACGAAGGGAGCUAGCGUUGUUCGGAAUCACUGGGCGUAAAGCGCACGUAGGCGGCUCGUUUAGUCAGGGGUGAAAUCCCGGAGCUCAACUUCGGAACUGCCUUUGAUACUGGCGAUCUCGAGUCCGAUAGAGGUGGGUGGAAUUCCUAGUGUAGAGGUGAAAUUCGUAGAUAUUAGGAAGAACACCGGUGGCGAAGGCGGCCCACUGGAUCGGUACUGACGCUGAGGUGCGAAAGCGUGGAGAGCAAACAGG
This 253-nucleotide ribosomal RNA is filed under the name uncultured bacterium. RNAcentral's name for it is "partial 16S ribosomal RNA". It matches the Rfam family "Bacterial small subunit ribosomal RNA", at positions 524 to 776 of the family's 1533-position model. The record is from RNAcentral.